This 72-nucleotide transfer RNA is filed under the name Bos taurus (domestic cattle). It matches the Rfam family "tRNA". Rfam says of the family: Transfer RNA (tRNA) molecules are approximately 80 nucleotides in length. Their secondary structure includes four short double-helical elements and three loops (D, anti-codon, and T loops). RNAcentral also lists the same sequence under 3 other names. The record is from Rfam by way of RNAcentral. Lineage: Eukaryota; Metazoa; Chordata; Mammalia; Artiodactyla; Bovidae.
UCCCUUGUGGCUCAGCUCGUAAAGCAUCCGCCUGCAAUGCGGGAGACCUGGGUUCAAUCCCUGGGUUGGGAA